Molecule: ribosomal RNA, 619 nt
Filed under: uncultured Chloroflexota bacterium
Lineage: Bacteria; Bacillati; Chloroflexota
Description: bacterial SSU rRNA
Rfam family: Bacterial small subunit ribosomal RNA
Source: RNAcentral
AGAGUUUGAUCAUGGCUCAGGAUGAACGUUGGCGGCGUGCCUAAUACAUGCAAGUCGAACGGUAGUUGAGCAUUCGUGCUUGAUGAGAGUGGCGAACGGGUGAGUAACACGUAACUGAUCUGCCCUUUAGACUGGGAUAACCUUUGGAAACAGAGGCUAAUACCGGAUGAGUUCGCGGUAGUUAGAGAGCCGUGAGGAAAGGCUAAUGCGCUAAGGGAUGAGGUUGCGGGCCAUCAGCUAGUUGGUGAGGUAAAGGCUCACCAAGGCGAUGACGGUUAGGGGAUCUGAGAGGGUGGCCCCCCACACUGGGACUGAGACACGGCCCAGACUCCUACGGGAGGCAGCAGUAAGGGAUAUUGCACAAUGGACGGAAGUCUGAUGCAGCGACGCCGCGUGGGUGAAGAAGGUUUUCGGAUCGUAAAGCCCUUUUCUAUGUGACGAGAGAGGACGGUAGCAUAGGAAUAAGUGUCGGCUAACUACGUGCCAGCAGCCGCGGUAAAACGUAGGACGCGAACGUUAUCCGGAGUUACUGGGCGUAAAGCGCGCGUAGGCGGUUGGUUAAGUUACCUAUGAAAGAUACAGGCUAAACUUGUAUUGGUUAGGUGAAACUGGCUAACUA